This 403-nucleotide ribosomal RNA is filed under the name bacterium. RNAcentral's name for it is "partial 16S ribosomal RNA". It matches the Rfam family "Bacterial small subunit ribosomal RNA", at positions 355 to 776 of the family's 1533-position model. RNAcentral also lists the same sequence under 1 other name. The record is from RNAcentral.
UGGGGAAUAUUGCACAAUGGAGGGAACUCUGAUGCAGCGACGCCGCGUGAACGAAGAAGGCUUUCGAGUCGUAAAGUUCUUUUAUAUGGGAAGAUAAUGACGGUACCAUAAGAAAAAGCCCCGGCUAACUACGUGCCAGCAGCCGCGGUAAUACGUAGGGGGCUAGCGUUGUCCGGAAUCACUGGGCGUAAAGGGUUCGCGGGCGGAAAUGCAAGUCAGGUGUAAAAGGCAGUAGCUUAACUACUGUAAGCAUUUGAAACUGCAUAUCUUGAGAAGAGUAGAGGUAAGUGGAAUUUUUAGUGUAGCGGUGAAAUGCGUAGAUAUUAAAAAGAAUACCGGUGGCGAAGGCGACUUACUGGGCUCAUUCUGACGCUGAGGAACGAAAGCGUGGGUAGCAAACAGG